This 238-nucleotide unclassified non-coding RNA is filed under the name Hevea brasiliensis (rubber tree). The record is from RNAcentral. Lineage: Eukaryota; Viridiplantae; Streptophyta; Magnoliopsida; Malpighiales; Euphorbiaceae.
GAGGUGCUGACCAUCAACAGCCUGAAAUAGAUGCACAAGCAAAGCAUAAGUGACACCAGCAACUACAGAUGCCAAAAUCAAAAACUGGUUACAACAGCAUUGGCAUAAAAUGAGGUGAUUAUUAUCAUGUUGAAAACAUACAAUAAGAAGAUGAAAACAACUCAUUCAACUCAGUGAAAUUACACCUAUGGCAUUCACUACUUUUAGGUACCAACUUAUUGUACAUUACACUCUCGUA